UCUUUUUAGAGAAGGUGUGUGGAUAAAAAUAAAAAGCAUGGCGGUCCUUGAUCUCGUCAGAGAAACAUGUAUUUAUAAACGAAUUUGCACGAUAAUCUGUCCUAAUUUUGAAUAUGUAUUUUGUACACCGCUGUCUGAAAGAAAUUAUAAAAGUAUUUUCUUUCUUCUUUUAAAGAACUAAGGCAAGUUAAGGUGCAGAUGAUGGUUAGGGUAAUAUGUGUUUCAAUAAUAAUUAUAGCCUAAAAUUGAAAAAUUUAAGGAAAAGAGAAUUUGAUAGUAAGACUGGUUAAUUAUAUUAGUCUGAAGAAGGGCUAUAGAGGGUGU
RNAcentral lists this ribosomal RNA (324 nucleotides) under Guimaraesiella montisodalis. RNAcentral describes it as "partial small subunit ribosomal RNA". The record is from RNAcentral. Lineage: Eukaryota; Metazoa; Arthropoda; Insecta; Psocodea; Philopteridae.